AGCAGCCAUCAUUUAAAGAGUGCGUAAUAGCUCACUAGUCGAGUGGCCCUGCGCCGAAAAUUUACCGGGGCUAAACAAGGUACCGAAGCCACGGAUAGAACCUUUGGUUCUAUGGUAGGAGAGCGUUCUAAUCAGCAUAGAAGCCUGACUGUGAAGACAGGUGGAGCGAUUAGAAGUGAGAAUGCCGGUAUGAGUAGCGAAAGACAGGUGAGAAUCCUGUCCACCGAAUGACUAAGGUUUCCUGGGGAAGGCUCGUCCUCCCAGGGUUAGUCGGGAC
RNAcentral lists this ribosomal RNA (277 nucleotides) under Dolosigranulum pigrum. Its description in RNAcentral is "partial 23S ribosomal RNA". It matches the Rfam family "Bacterial large subunit ribosomal RNA", at positions 1111 to 1390 of the family's 2925-position model. Lineage: Bacteria; Bacillati; Bacillota; Bacilli; Lactobacillales; Carnobacteriaceae. The record is from RNAcentral.